RNAcentral lists this transfer RNA (72 nucleotides) under Chloroflexota bacterium. RNAcentral's name for it is "tRNA-Gly". It matches the Rfam family "tRNA". Rfam says of the family: Transfer RNA (tRNA) molecules are approximately 80 nucleotides in length. Their secondary structure includes four short double-helical elements and three loops (D, anti-codon, and T loops). Lineage: Bacteria; Bacillati; Chloroflexota. The record is from RNAcentral.
GCGGAAGUGGCUCAGUGGUAGAGCAUCUCCUUGCCAAGGAGAGGGUCGCCAGUUCGAAUCUGGUCUUCCGCU